GCAUUGCUCAGUCGGUAGAGCAUGAGACUCGCAAUCUCGGGGUCGUGGGUUCGUACCCCACGUUGGGCG
Non-coding RNA from Trichonephila clavipes, 69 nucleotides. The record is from the annotation of a GenBank genome assembly. Lineage: Eukaryota; Metazoa; Arthropoda; Arachnida; Araneae; Nephilidae.